AGUUUGAUCAUGGCUCAGAUUAAACGCUGGCGGCAUGCCUUACACAUGCAAGUCGAACGGUAGCGCGGGGCAACCUGGCGACGAGUGGCGAACGGGUGAGUAAAGCAUCGGAACGUGCCCUGGAAUGGGGGAUAACGUAGCGAAAGUUACGCUAAUACCGCAUAUUCUGUGAGCAGGAAAGCAGGGGAUCGCAAGACCUUGCGUUCUGGGAGCGGCCGAUGUCGGAUUAGCUAGUUGGUGGGGUAAAAGCCUACCAAGGCGACGAUCCGUAGCGGGUCUGAGAGGAUGAUCCGCCACACUGGGACUGAGACACGGCCCAGACUCCUACGGGAGGCAGCAGUGGGGAAUUUUGGACAAUGGGCGGAAGCCUGAUCCAGCCAUGCCGCGUGAGUGAAGAAGGCCUUCGGGUUGUAAAGCUCUUUCGGUGGGGAAGAAAUUGCACGGGUUAAUACCCUGUGUAGAUGACGGUACCCGACUAAGAAGCACCGGCUAACUACGUG
This 500-nucleotide ribosomal RNA is filed under the name uncultured bacterium. RNAcentral's name for it is "bacterial SSU rRNA". It matches the Rfam family "Bacterial small subunit ribosomal RNA", at positions 10 to 507 of the family's 1533-position model. The record is from RNAcentral.